Non-coding RNA from Bos taurus (domestic cattle), 74 nucleotides. The record is from Rfam. NCBI's taxonomy places the organism in Eukaryota, Metazoa, Chordata, Mammalia, Artiodactyla, Bovidae.
UCUCUGGUGGUCCAGUGGUUAGGACUCAGCACUUUCACUGCUGUGCACCUGGGGUUCAAUCCCUGGCCGGGGAA